RNAcentral lists this small RNA (165 nucleotides) under uncultured Acetatifactor sp. Its description in RNAcentral is "Clostridiales-1 RNA". It matches the Rfam family "Clostridiales-1 RNA". The record is from RNAcentral. Lineage: Bacteria; Bacillati; Bacillota; Clostridia; Lachnospirales; Lachnospiraceae.
GAUACCAGGGGCAAAAGGUCUUUCCCACAUGAGCUUGCUCAUAAGUAGGGAACAGACCUUGGGCCCCGCCAAAAUAUGAGCAUAAAAGUGGGACAUCAGUCCCGCGAUAUGCGAAUAUUUUGUAGGAUUGUGGGAGCACAAAGUGCGUAACAAUCCGUAGGUAUC